UCAGAUUGGUGUUCCUUGGUUGUCUGCUUAUAUUUAAGGAGGAGGAACUGAAUAUUCCACAUGCCUGCCUGACUGAGUUUGCGGUGGUGUUCCAGGCGCUUUGACACACAGUUUGGGAAUCAUGAUUUAGGG
Long non-coding RNA from Molossus molossus (Pallas's mastiff bat), 132 nucleotides. RefSeq lists it as uncharacterized. The record is from RefSeq and is a predicted model, not a curated record. Lineage: Eukaryota; Metazoa; Chordata; Mammalia; Chiroptera; Molossidae. The transcript is spliced from 2 exons.